AAAUAUCCCUGUUAUGAUUCAAUAAUGCAAAAAUGUCAUUACCAAAAAAUUUUUUUAUUUAAUUAAAAUAUCAACAUAUAUGAAAAUGAUUGCAGUAAAAAAUGAGAAUCAUCACAUAAACGCAAAUUUCUAUCCUUAAUUGUCAUGAAAAUAUUUUUAAAAUUAAUAACCCUAAAAUAGGUUUUAAUUUUUUAUGCAAAAUAAUUAUUUCCUUUUAAUAUUAUGGUAAAUUAUGGCCUGGAGAUUGUUAUUACGAGAUUAACAUACAAUAUGUUACUGAUGGGCCUAACAGCAUUGCACCCACUAACCGAUUCAGCUGUUACAGCUUAAACUUCUUGAAUUUUUUAACUCUCACUACCAUUUUAAGACUUCUUUUUUUUCAUGACUUUUGUAAACUCUCAGUUAUAAUGUAUCAGCACUAAACUGUUGAAUGCAGCAUUUGUACACAGAUCCAGCAGCACAGCGUGAAACCCAUUACCAGCUCAGCCAUUUUGCAGUGCCUCUUCUUAACUGCACUAGACAAAGCACAGCCUUAUAUUUGGUAUCUAUACAAGGGACGUAGUGUCCAUUUAACACUAUAACCCACACAUUCAGAUCUGUCCAGUGGAGUAGUGUAUUUAUGUAUUUUGCUUUAUUUGUUUAUACAGAAAAAGAUUUUUUACUGCCCUUUAUAAAUGGAUAAAUUCAUACUAAUUUGUACAGUUUGGUAGGUCUCGAUUAGUUAAGUAUAUUUAACUAAUAUUGUGUGUUGCUAGCACUUACAGCUGUUUAUACUAGUGCUGACAAGUGCCUUGGAUAAGAUAAGUCCUCACCAAAAGACACAGGAUUUACUCCUAGUGAAAUAUGCAAUAUUUAUUGAUUGACUUAAGACAAGUAUGAAGAGGUUUAAGGCUUUGCGUUUUUUUAAAGGAACCUGUGAAUGGCUUCAACAAAGAAUGAACAAGACGCUGGGAUGAUUUCAAUGAUUGUUUGCGUGUUUGAAAUCAGACAUGAGAAUGAAUUUGAUGUUUUGAUAAUAAAAGAGUGGCUUUUACUGCAA
This is a long non-coding RNA of Cyprinus carpio carpio, 1039 nucleotides long. NCBI's taxonomy places the organism in Eukaryota, Metazoa, Chordata, Actinopteri, Cypriniformes, Cyprinidae. The record is from Ensembl.